GAUGAAGAACGUAGCGAAAUGCGAAAAGUAGUGUGAAUUGCAGAAUUCAGUGAAUCAUCGAAUCUUUGAACGCACAUUGCGCCCGCCAGUAUUCUGGCGGGCAUGCCUGUUCGAGCGUCAUUUCAACCAUCAAGCCCCCGGCUUGUGUUGGGGACCUGCGGCUGCCGCAGGCCCUGAAAAGCAGUGGCGGGCUCGCUGUCACACCGAGCGUAGUAGAUUUCAUCUCGCUCAGGGCGUGCUGCGGGUUCCGGCCGUUAAACCACCUUCAUAACCCAAGGUUGACCUCGGAUCAGGUAGGAAGACCCGCUGAACUUAAGCAUAUCAAUAAGCGGAGGA
RNAcentral lists this unclassified non-coding RNA (336 nucleotides) under soil metagenome. Its description in RNAcentral is "partial contains 5.8S ribosomal RNA, internal transcribed spacer 2, and large subunit ribosomal RNA". The stretch from base 1 to 120 matches the Rfam family "5.8S ribosomal RNA", at positions 35 to 154 of the family's 154-position model. The record is from RNAcentral.